RNAcentral lists this ribosomal RNA (250 nucleotides) under uncultured prokaryote. Its description in RNAcentral is "partial 16S ribosomal RNA". It matches the Rfam family "Bacterial small subunit ribosomal RNA", at positions 524 to 773 of the family's 1533-position model. The record is from RNAcentral.
UACGUAGGGGGCGAGCGUUGUCCGGAAUGACUGGGCGUAAAGGGCGUGUAGGCGGCCAUGUAAGUCCGGAGUGAAAGUCCGCUUUUCAAGGGCGGAAUUGCUUUGGAGACUGCGCGGCUUGAGUACAGAAGAGGUAAGCGGAAUUCCCGGUGUAGCGGUGAAAUGCGUAGAGAUCGGGAGGAACACCAGUGGCGAAGGCGGCUUACUGGGCUGUAACUGACGCUGAGGCGCGAAAGCGUGGGGAGCGAAC